UCACCCGGGGAACGGCUCCCGCCCCGCGCGCGCUUCCCGCCCGCAGGGCCGCGGGUUCGAGUCCCGCCGGGGCAGC
Molecule: non-coding RNA, 76 nt
Organism: Turdus rufiventris (rufous-bellied thrush)
Lineage: Eukaryota; Metazoa; Chordata; Aves; Passeriformes; Turdidae
Source: the annotation of a GenBank genome assembly